GGCCUCGUAGCUCAGCUGGUAGAGCGCGUGCGUUCCAAGCGUAGGCGGCAUCCAUGCGUGGGUUGGAAUCUCACCGUUGCUA
Molecule: transfer RNA, 82 nt
Filed under: Echinostoma caproni
Lineage: Eukaryota; Metazoa; Platyhelminthes; Trematoda; Plagiorchiida; Echinostomatidae
Rfam family: tRNA
About the family: Transfer RNA (tRNA) molecules are approximately 80 nucleotides in length.
Source: Rfam by way of RNAcentral